GGAAGGAAGCCUGAUCAGAGGACUGCUAACCAUCUCUGGAUACAGAGGGUAGCCGGCUCCACGCACUGACCGCAGCUCUGAGGCUGACACUUCCCUGAAGACCCAGAGUGUGGAUCGUCAGUCAGGACUUGCUGCCGCAGCCCUUCUUCAUGAGUGAAGUCAAGUGAGCGUGAGGCCGUUCACCACUCUCCUGGUCUUUUUCAUUUCUCACUUGGUGCUCCCCUCAGUAGCAGCAUAUGUCUCUAAGCCCCUGUGUAUUCAUUCUGCCAAGAAAGUCUCAGUGCUGUAGUGCCACGCGAUUGGCCGAGAUGGCUAAGAUCCCCCAACUCACUCAAUUCCCUCCUUCUCUUAUCACUAGACUGCAGGGGAACCAUUUUCAUUCCAAUGGUGUUAUUUUCCUGCCCCGCGUACCUCUUUCCCCUUCAGCUUUUACCCAGCAUCUUGCCAGUCUUUCUCACUGGAAAUUCCCGUCCUCACUCCCCUCCCCUUUGGGAGGUAGGAAGUCAUUUUUGCUGACUCAUUUGUCCUGUGCCCUUUUGCUGCCCCAAGUUGCUUCCCCCUUUCUCCAGAGCCGCUGGAGUCUUCUCCACAAGGUUUACUCUGCGGCCUUUCUGGAAACCAGCCCCUCUACUCUUCUGGGAUUUGGAGUUUCAGAGCGAGUUCUUGUUGGCUCCGGGCCCACUGUUCACCUGGGCUUCUGGCUUGCUUACGGUCCUACCU
This 720-nucleotide long non-coding RNA is filed under the name Pongo abelii (Sumatran orangutan). RNAcentral describes it as "lincRNA". The record is from RNAcentral. Lineage: Eukaryota; Metazoa; Chordata; Mammalia; Primates; Hominidae.